Molecule: long non-coding RNA, 4027 nt
Organism: Symphalangus syndactylus (siamang)
Lineage: Eukaryota; Metazoa; Chordata; Mammalia; Primates; Hylobatidae
Source: RefSeq, a predicted model, not a curated record
CACUUUCUCCUGCUGCCUUGUGGAGAAGAUGUCUGCUUCUCGUUCGCCUUCCACCGUCAUUGUAAUUUUCCUGAGGCCUCCCCAGCCAGGUGGAACUAAACCGCAAUCAAGGAUCUUGCCUACUUUUUUACCCAUUCCCUCUGCCUCCUGAACAUCCCUGGUGCUGCUCCCCUGUGGCCACUGCAUGGCAUGACAAGCUCCCACACUUGGGAUCUGACUGUUUGUUGUCCAAAAAGCCUUUUCCCCUAAGCUUGAAAGCUUAACUUCUCAGAAGCAGGAAGCUGCCUUUUGCCAAGAGUAAAUGGGUGAGAAGUCCAAAGGUCUCGGUUUUGAAGUAUGUGCAACGAAUGUUCAAACAGGUUCUGAACGGAGCCAAAUCUACUUUUCUAUCUCCAAGAAAUUUCGAGAGAGCCACGGGGCGGAAGUUUCAAGGAACAUCGUCUCGUCCCAAACCGCAUGAAAUUGCAUUCCAAUGAGAUGCAUGGCCAAACCCACCAGAAUACAAAACGCAGGGAUGGAAGGAGACUUGAUGACGAUGACCUUGUGAAAUGAGAGAAUUGUCUUGAAAGGGAGCGAUGUUAUGGAAGAUGCUGAUUUUGGCAUUCCCUGUCUGAAGCGCUAACUAAACUCAUUGGGCUUUUGCUCUGCACCAGGUACUGAUAGGAAAACUCCUAUACUUUUCAUGUGUAUUCACUUACUUGACACCUGAUGGAGGAGGUAUUUUUCAGAGGAGAAAACUGAGUCAUGGACAAAGUGAGUGACGUGCCUGAGAUCAUUCAUCUAAGAUGUUGCAGAGCUGGGAUUUGAACCUAGUUUGUCUGCCUCUGGGAUCUGAGCUGGUAAACAUCACACGGCACUUUGUGGCUCGUUUGUGACUGGUCCGUCCAUUAGAGGAAAAUGGUUAGAAGUCCUACUCUGUGCCCCUCAGUGUACCAGUACUUGGAGAUACUUCCGCCAGAUGCUUCCUGGAGGAAGUAGUAGAGUCUUUACCCCCAUGAAACUUAAUCUGGUGGUGGAAGACAAACAUAAAACAAAUAAUUGAUUUGAGCUCUGAGAAGUGCCACAAAGGCAAUGCACAGAUAUAACGAUGGGGGAGGGAGGGGUGGCACUUGGUCUGGGAAGUAGGGGAAAACUGUCUGUGUAAGUGACAUUUUAUCUCAGACUGGAAGGGUGUUGUUAUGGGUUCAAUUCCAUCCUCUUCUCCCCAGCAUUCAUAUGUCAAAGUCCUAACCCCUAGACCUCAGAACGUGACCUUAUUUGGAAAUAGUGUUCUUGCAGAUGUAAUUAGUUAAGUUGAGGUUAGAGUAGAGUAGGGUGGGCCCCUGCUAUAAUACGACUGUUAUCUUUAUAAAAAGGGGAAAUUUAGAGACACACACACACACACAGGGAGAAGGACAUGAGAACAGGAGGCAGAGAUCAGACUGGUAUUUCCACAAACCAACGAGUGCCAAAAACAGCCAGCAAAUCACCUUCAAAAGGAGCAUGACAUCUUGAUCUUGGACUUUCAUAUUCCAGAACUGUGUUUUAUCCACUCGCAUCGUGGUACCUUGUCAUGGCAGCCCUAGCAAAUGAAUACAGAGGGAAGGUGCCUGUCAGGUGAGGAGGGAGUGGAGAGUAGGAGAGAGGGAAAAAGAAACGAAACCCAGGAAGAAGAGCUAGCAUGUGCAGAAUCCCCAAGGGAGGAAAGAGCAUGACACAUUUGGGAAGGUGGAACCAGGGAGAGGGGAGGGUGGAAGAUGAAGCAGGUGGAACCAGAUUGUGGCGUCGCUAAUACACAAUGUGACGUUUAUAUGAAGGACGAUGUGAAACCAGUGAAGGGUUUUAACCAAGGGGCAACCAUAAUUGGACCUGAAUUUUAAUAUCAUUGUUCUGUUGCUGUGUGGAAACUGAAUUUUGGGGGUGGUAGGAAAGAAUAAAUGUAGAACAGUUUAGAAGCUAUUGUGUUUGUGCCCAGGAGUUUCAGAUGAAUUCUUCAGAUUGGUUAUUCUUCCAAACAGGCCAUUUUCCUCAAGCCAUUUCCCUACUUAGACACAUUCAUUGUUUACACUGUACCAGGCUCUGAAACUGUGCUGUCCAAUAUGGUAGCCACUGGCCACAUGUGGCUCAUUUAAAUUAAAAUUAAAUAAAAUUAAAGACUCAGUUGCUCUGUCUCACUGAGAUGUGCCUAUGUGCUCACUAGCUGCAUCAUUCAUUGAAAGUUCUGUUAGACAGCUCUGGUCUAGGGAAACGCAGAGGAAUAGGCACCAUCCCGUCCUUGUUUUUAGAUCAGUAAAAGAGCCCCAGACAAUUGGAUUUCAUAGACCAGCAAGAACUUUUUCUUUUUUAAUUAUACUUUAAGUUUUAGGGUACAUGUGCACAACGUGCAGGUUUGUUACAUAUGUAUACAUGUGCCAUGUUGGUUUGCUGCACCCAUUAACUCAUCAUUUACAUUAGGUAUAUCUCCUAAUGCUAUCCGUCCCCCCUCCCCCCACCCCACAACAGGCCCCAGUGUGUGAUGUUCCCCUUCCUGUCUCCAUGUGUUCUCAUUGUUCAAUUCCCACCUAUGAGUGAGAACAUGUGGUGUUUGGUUUUUUGUCCUAGACCAGCAAGAACUUUUAUAAAUACACUAAGAAAAUGAAAAGGCAAUUCACAGAGCUGGAAAAAUAUCUGCACCGCCUAUGACUGGUACGGGGUUCUGUAAAUAAUAUUUUAAGGUCUCCCCAAAUCAGAAAAUAAGAAAACAGCUCAGUAGAAAAAUGCAAGAGACUUGAACAGGGAUUUUCCAAAGGAGAAUAUCUGAAUGGUUAAUAAAUAGAUGAAAAGGUACUCAAUCCUAUCAGAAGUCAGAGAAAUGCCCAUUAAAGCUGCAAUAAGAUGCUACCCACACACACCAGAAUGGCUCAGAUGGAAAAGACGAACAAUAUCAGACUAAGGACAUGCACCAGAGUUUCUAGGAUUAAAAGACUAUCCAUACUAAGUGUUGGCAAGGAUGUGGAGUGACUCAAACUCUCAUAAGUGUUGGUGAGAGUGUAACUGGCACAACCUCUUUGGAAGGCAGUUUAGUGCAGGGUGGCUUUAUAAUUUAUUAUCCAAACCAGUUCACUUUCAGGAAUGGAAGGGGGAAAUGUUCACUGAUUCCACAGGCAUUGACUGGGAGAGUCCUUGAACAUACAAUUAACCUAAUCAAAAUAGAUAUUCAUGUGUAUGAUCCAUCAAAUCCACACCUAGGUGUGUAUGUGCAUGUAUGUGUGCACAAGUGACAAAAUGUUCUCCGUGGCGCUGUUUGUAGCAGCUCCAAACUGGCAGCAACCAGAAUGCACUGCAAUACUGUGCAUCAUCAAAAAUGAACUAAUCUGUGUGAAAUACAACAACAGGGAGGAAUGUUAGAAAUAUAUUGGGGCCAGGCACACAGCGGCUCAUGCCUGUAAUUCCAGCACUUUGGGAGGCCGAGGUGGGCAGAUGGCUUGAGCCCAGGAGUUCGAGACUAGCCUGGGCAACAUGGAAAAACCCUGUCUCUACAAAAAAUACAAAAAUUAGCCGCGUGUGGUGGCAUGCAUCUGUGGGCCCAGCUACUUAGGAGUCUGAGGUGGGAGGAUCACCUGAGCCUGGGAGGCAGAGGGUGCAAUGAACCAAGAUCACAUCACUGCACUCCAGCCUGGGCAAUGGAGUAAGAUCCUGUCGAAAGAAAGAAUGAACGAAGGAAUGAAAGGAAGGAAGGAUGGAAAGGGGAAAGAAAGAAAGAAAGAACAGAAAAAUGUUGCACAAACACCCAUGUAUGAAAGAAUAUAUCACUUAUAAUCCAUUUGGAACAGAAAACUAAAGGCAGGACUUGGUGUUGGCAAUCAGGGUGGUGUUUUCCCUUGGGGAGGAGGGAGGGGCUGAUGAGAAGUGCUAGUAGAGGGGUUUCUGGGGUGCUGGCAAUAUUUUAUUUUUUGACCUAAAUUGUGGUUACACAGGUAUUCAUUUCGUGAGAGUUCAGCUGUACAGCUAUAUUUUUGUGCUCUUUUCUGUAUAUGUGCUAUAUUUCACAAUUAAAAAUCAAUGCAAA